This 102-nucleotide non-coding RNA is filed under the name Paenibacillus curdlanolyticus. RNAcentral's name for it is "Guanine sequence". It matches the Rfam family "Purine riboswitch aptamer". From Rfam's summary of the family: Riboswitches are metabolite binding domains within certain messenger RNAs that serve as precision sensors for their corresponding targets. Allosteric rearrangement of mRNA structure is mediated by ligand binding, and this results in modulation of gene expression. Lineage: Bacteria; Bacillati; Bacillota; Bacilli; Caryophanales; Paenibacillaceae. The record is from RNAcentral. RNAcentral also lists the same sequence under 1 other name.
AUUUCGCGCAGCAUUUUGACUCGUAUAUACUCGGGAAUAAGGCUCGAGCGUAUCUACCCGGGAACCUUAAAUUACCGGACUACGAGCGGAUGACGAAGAGAU